UACGGAGGGGGCAAACGUUGUUCGGAAUUACUGGGCGUAAAGGGCGCGUAGGCGGCCCGCUAAGUCGAACGUGAAAUCCCCGAGCUCAACUCGGGAACUGCGUCCGAUACUGGUGGGCUUGAAUCCGGGAGAGGGAUGCGGAAUUCCAGGUGUAGCGGUGAAAUGCGUAGAUAUCUGGAGGAACACCGGUGGCGAAGGCGGCAUCCUGGACCGGCAUUGACGCUGAGGCGCGAAAGCUAGGGGAGCAAACGGG
RNAcentral lists this ribosomal RNA (253 nucleotides) under uncultured bacterium. Its description in RNAcentral is "partial 16S ribosomal RNA". It matches the Rfam family "Bacterial small subunit ribosomal RNA", at positions 524 to 776 of the family's 1533-position model. The record is from RNAcentral.